AGAAUCCCACCCACCUACCCCCAUCCCAGUUAACAUAACAGUGGAAAUUUGCCUUAAAAAAUUAAAGCGAUUUUCAAACUAUUUUUUAAAAAAUCAAUCAAAAUAAUGCCCACUGAGGUAUAGAAAAACCAAAUUUGUAGACCAACAGACUAGGUCCUAACCCUCCCUUGUUCCUUUCAUACUUUCUAGGAUGACCCCUAGCAGGUCACUGAACUUUUAGGAGCUUUAGUAUAAUGUAGCAACAAUAUUUACCUCACAAGAUUCUACAGUGGAUUAAUGGUGCUCAGGUAUAUAAAGCCUCUAGCACUGCGCCAUUCAAAAUGGCAGCCACUAGCCAUAUGUGGCUAAAGAGAACUCAAAAUACUGCUAGUCAGAACUGAGAUGUGCUAUGUGAAAUACAUACCAGAUUUCAAAGUCUUAGUAUGAAAAAAAGAACGCAAACUACUCUAUUGUUUAAAAUAAAUUAUCCGUUGAAAUUAUAUUUUGGAAUAUACCGAGUUAAAUAAAACAUAUUAUGAAAAUGUGCACAAUUAGGUGCAUAUCUUACACUAGAGACCAACAAAACAGUAGUUUGUGUUGCCAAGUUUAACUUAUUUUUGUGCAUAUCUUAAAACCUUCUGCUUUUACCCAAGUCAUUAAAAAGUAUCCCCGAAUUGCUGGCUUCAUACACUUGUUAGGUUCAUUUCUUGCAAGGUUAGCUGUUUAAAAAUUGCAAUCAUAUACUUGUCGGGAAUUAUGUCUAUAUUAGAGAACUAAAAAUGAAAAAUAAAUUUGAGACUGACGUUGACAGAAGUUAUCCAAAAACUCCAAUAGCAAGGCAGUAUCAGUUCUCAUUGUUUGAUCCUUGAAGAAUACUCUAAAUUCAAACUUAAUAUCUACACCAAUACUUCUUUUCUCUGCUUUACAGAUUAGCAUCCCAUUGUUUAAAUAAGGGUGGAAAUCUGAGGCAGACUUGGAUCUGGGAACAUGCAAUCAUUUGUCUUUCGUAAUACAGAAAGCUCUCAGGACCAAACGGAGCAAUUUCCCCUGGUCUCAGAUGCAGCAGACCUGCCCAUUUCCUGUGGUGGGAAAGUCUGCAGGCGUCCUACUUAGUGGCUGUAGGGUUCACUGCGGACCCAGCCACGUUACUGGGAAAGAGGAAUCAAAUACAGUGAGCCUUCCAGAGGCCCGGAAGGGGAGCUCUGUGGAGCAGUGAACACAUCAAUGUGUCCUGGAGGAAGUUCCCAGCUAUGCCAUUGCCUAUUCCAUUUCUGCUGCAGACACAGUAACUCCUCAGAUUACUGCCGAAAUAUCUAUUUGCUCAAAAAUUCAGUUUAAAUUUAAAAAUUCAUCCACUUUGUAUGUGGAUUCAUAAAUGCUCUCAAAUGGCUCAUAUUUACCAGCCUUGUUUACAUCUAGUCCCAACAAACCUCAAGGGACCCCCUCUACGUCCCAACAUGGACAGCCUCAAGGACAUAGACCUGGCCAAUCAUGUAAGUUGCCCAUUUCAUUCUCCUGGACAAUUUCAAAUGCGCCUUCAUACUCGAGGCAGAUUCCGCCUAUGGGUACAAACCACUUGUCCUAGCUCUACCACCUGGCGUCUUACAGAGCAGCCCCUCCUGCAUUUGAUCUCUCUCCAAAUAAAGUCAGCAAGUGGGUACCACAAGUCCUCUCUUCUAUAGGCUGAGAGGCUAUGUGUAACAGCUCUUACUACACGCCUGGCGCAUGGCAAAUACACACCAAGUAUUUGCUAUUACCAUCAUUAAUAACCACAAACUAUGAUGGAUUAGUUGAACAAUCUUUAGAAGUUUACAUAAUUACUUCUCCUAAUAUUUUUGGUACUAUCUGGAGCCCUUCCCAGUGGAGAACCUCCUUUGCCAUGGCUGCAGAUGGUCUACGUCCCAGGACGAGUGUGGCCAACCGAGUGUGACCUCACUAGAAUGCAGGUACCAUCUUCUCUCACUUCACAGUUUUAUCCAAUCAGUGCAAACUCACAGCAGCUCUUUCGGCAGCCAACUGCUGUUUUAGCUAACAGGUGUAGAUCUUUGUCACCUGCAUCGUUACUAAAGGCUCUGCUUUAACAUCUGGAACACACUAAGCACCACGUUCAAAGCUGCCCCUGUAGACAGCUCCUCUGCAUUUCCCCAGAGGAGGACCAUACCUCAAGACUGCUCAGCACCCAGUGGUUGCUCAAUUUGUUAGACCAAAAUGCCACCAAUUUCCCAGAAGUUUACUAGCGUCCACACUUACUCAACCAUGUACCCUGCAAAGGAAGACUGAGGGACAAUUAGAAGGCCUUCCAGGAGGCAGUAAUGAGGAAAUGUCCUUGAUGCCAGUAAGAUACGCAUGGGGUCCCAACAGGACAAGGCCCUUCAGAAAUGUGACAGUUGUACGUAUUUGCCCAGGAUGAGAAAAGGAUCUGGCUCAACAAGACCAGCUUUUAUGGUCCUUAAGUUACAGGGACAACCUGAGCACCAAUUUAGGCCUUGGAUACAAGCGAGUACGCCGACCAGUCCCAACCUUCCCUGGGGUUGGAGGCUUGCUCUCCACUGGCAGGCAGAGCCUGUGCCUGCAGACAUGGCAGCUGUGCUUCUGGAGCAGUUUCCCAUUCCAAAACUUGACCAUCCUGCACCUGACCUGUGAUGCACCUGAUGUUUAGCAUCAAGAUCUCCUUUAGGGAGGGGAUCACUGGGUUCCCAAGAACUCAAACUAAAAACACAUCUCAGGAGGAAUCCAUUUCUGGGGUUGCUUGUCAGGCUGUUUCCUCUGUGGGGUGGAAGGUUAAUUCUGCAGCUUUCAUUUGAGCCUGGGACCUAGCUGGCCAUCAGUGAGGUGCUUGGUCCUAAAGCUGGAGGAAGGCACCAGGGACAAAGAUUAAGAACCAAGGAUGCCAAUAAAAAGGAACAAAGUACUGAUAACAAGCUACAACAUGGACGAACCCCAAAACACUCAGCUAAAUCAAAGACACCAGUCGUGAACGACACACAUUUUAUGAUUCCAUUUUAUAUAAAAUGCCAGAAGAGGCAAAUAGAUAUGGAGAGAAAGUAGAUAGGCAUUUGCCUAAAGCUUAGGGGGAUGGGGAGGUGCGGGACUAAGAGGCUAACAGCAAAGGGGUGUGGGCUAUCUUCUUGGGGUAGUAAAAAUGUUUAAACAUUGAUUGUGGUGCUGAGGCACGUCUCUGAAGAGACUCAAGGUCACUGAGCUGUCUACUUUAAAU
This is a long non-coding RNA of Equus asinus (donkey), 3196 nucleotides long. The record is from Ensembl. NCBI's taxonomy places the organism in Eukaryota, Metazoa, Chordata, Mammalia, Perissodactyla, Equidae.